RNAcentral lists this transfer RNA (68 nucleotides) under Perlesta teaysia. RNAcentral describes it as "tRNA-Cys". The record is from RNAcentral. Lineage: Eukaryota; Metazoa; Arthropoda; Insecta; Plecoptera; Perlidae.
AGCUUUAUAGUCACAGUGUGAUAUUAGACUGCAAUUCUAAAGGGGUAAAUUUUAAUUUACUAAGGCUU